ACGGGAGGCAGCAGUGGGGAAUAUUGGGCAAUGGGCGGAAGCCUGACCCAGCAACGCCGCGUGAGGGAAGAAGGUUUUCGGAUUGUAAACCUCUGUCCUUGGUGACGAAGGAAGUGACGGUAGCCAAGGAGGAAGCCCCGGCUAACUACGUGCCAGCAGCCGCGGUAAUACGUAGGGGGCGAGCGUUAUCCGGAAUUAUUGGGCGUAAAGAGUACGUAGGUGGUUUUGUAAGCGUAAGGUGAAAGCCUGGAGCUUAACUCCAGCGAGCCUUAUGAACUGCAAGACUUGAGUGCAGGAGGGGAAAGUGGAAUUCCUAGUGUAGCGGUGAAAUGCGUAGAUAUUAGGAGGAACACCAGUGGCGAAGGCGACUUUCUGGACUGUAACUGACACUGAGGUACGAAAGCGUGGGGAGCAAACAGGAUUAGAUACCCUGGUA
This 436-nucleotide ribosomal RNA is filed under the name uncultured Anaerovorax sp. RNAcentral describes it as "partial 16S ribosomal RNA". It matches the Rfam family "Bacterial small subunit ribosomal RNA", at positions 341 to 792 of the family's 1533-position model. Lineage: Bacteria; Bacillati; Bacillota; Clostridia; Peptostreptococcales; Anaerovoracaceae. The record is from RNAcentral.